This 792-nucleotide long non-coding RNA is filed under the name Vulpes vulpes (red fox). RNAcentral's name for it is "lncRNA (ENSVVUG00000023339.1)". Lineage: Eukaryota; Metazoa; Chordata; Mammalia; Carnivora; Canidae. The record is from RNAcentral.
AUACUACUAAAAUUUUUAAUUUCAACUAGUAACAGAAAUACUCUGACUAUAAUUAUUGCUCUUAAUAAGGAACAGGCCUAAACAUUUUGUCUAAUUCCUACUACCUAUACUUGCUUCUCUUAGAGUUUUUUCUUCCAGAUUUCCUGUUAUGACUCUUAAGAUAGCAUCAAAGGGUAACAAGAAGACAAAUCCCCGGAGUUGCAAAGUUCACUACAUCUUAUUUUCAGCUACAUCUCCAGCAUCUAAAUGAUAAUUUCCAGAACCUCUUAUCUGAAUUCCUUUGUCCAACCUGGAACUUCAAACUGAUCUUCCUGAAGCUGAUCUUAACACAGCAUCCCUACACUGAAAGAUGUCAAUGAUUCUCCUCUAUACAAAAUGAGGAUUCACAAUGAAUUAGAUCAAUUUUGCUAUGAGAAUACAACUUGCCUGCCAGCGGCCUCCAGACAUCCUCCAGUGCUGCCUCAAAGUAAAACCAGACCCCCAGCCCCAGGAAAAGAUCAACAUUUUUAUAGGACCCAGCAUGGUGUGUAUUUGCUCAGGAUUUUUGUCUUCUUAAUUAAAUAUUUUUCAGUCCCUGUCUCAGAAAUUAGAAAACACAAUUGAAAUGCCGCAAGAUACAUACUAUUCUAAGCCUGGAUGUGAAAUGGUAGCUAGAGGCCAUAAAAUUACACCGCAGCUAUUACAGAUAAUUAUCAAGGAUAUUCUGUGAGAACAUAAACAAUGGACUAAAAAAACCAUAGACUACAUUACUUGUGUUAAAUAAAAACAACUGUGUCACAUUUCCUAAAAGUG